RNAcentral lists this ribosomal RNA (532 nucleotides) under Eurynogaster sp. n. B KRG-2016. RNAcentral's name for it is "partial 12S ribosomal RNA". Lineage: Eukaryota; Metazoa; Arthropoda; Insecta; Diptera; Dolichopodidae. The record is from RNAcentral.
GUGCCAGCAGCUGCGGUUAUACAAAAAAUACAAGUUAAUUUUAUUAAAUUAAGUUAAAUUGAUAAAUAUUUAAUAAUAAAAAAAUUUUUAAGUGAAAUUUUAAUUUUUUUAUUUUUAAAAUUAAAAAAAGUGUUGAAACUAAAAAAUUUUGUUAAUAAACUAGGAUUAGAUACCCUAUUAUAAAAAAUGUAUUUUAUAAAAAUUAGAGUAGUAGUAGUUAUGGUCUUGAAACUCAAAAAAUUUGGCGGUAUUUUAGUCUAUUCAGAGGAACCUGUGGUAUAAUCGAUAAUCCACGAUGAAUCUUACUUAUUUUUGUUUUUCAAUUUGUAUACCGCCGUUAUUUAAAAAUUUUUUGAAAAUAAUAAUUUUUAUAAUUUUUUAUUAAAUAGAAAGUCAGGUCAAGGUGCAGUUUAUAUUUAAGUAUUUCAUGGGUUACAAUAAAUUUAUUUAAAUGGAUUAAAUUAUGAAAUUAAUUUAUGAAGGUGGAUUUGGCAGUAAAUUUUUAAAGAUUAGAAAAUUGAUUUUAGCUCUA